AUAGAAAGGGCUGACGCGGGUCAAAGUGUCGUAUCUGUUCUUCUCAGCUUAAUAUAUGAUACGGCUUGUAUUUGGACCCAAGAUAUUAAACCUAUUUUUGCAAGUUGGCGGAGUGCUUGAAGCCUGCUUCACCUCUGCCGCGAGACGGCCCGGUAUUGCACUAUCUAUGGGAUCGGCUCGCGGUUU
Molecule: small nuclear RNA, 186 nt
Filed under: Dermacentor silvarum
Lineage: Eukaryota; Metazoa; Arthropoda; Arachnida; Ixodida; Ixodidae
Description: U2 spliceosomal RNA
Rfam family: U2 spliceosomal RNA
About the family: U2 is a small nuclear RNA (snRNA) component of the spliceosome (involved in pre-mRNA splicing). Complementary binding between U2 snRNA (in an area lying towards the 5' end but 3' to hairpin I) and the branchpoint sequence (BPS) of the intron results the bulging out of an unpaired adenosine, on the BPS, which initiates a nucleophilic attack at the intronic 5' splice site, thus starting the first of two transesterification reactions that mediate splicing.
Source: RNAcentral